Jaculus jaculus (lesser Egyptian jerboa) is the source of this 2889-nucleotide RNA transcript. It is a transcript of the gene named shieldin complex subunit 2, with no coding region annotated. The record is from RefSeq and is a predicted model, not a curated record. The transcript is spliced from 11 exons. Lineage: Eukaryota; Metazoa; Chordata; Mammalia; Rodentia; Dipodidae.
CAAAAAAAUCUUUGUCUGACCUGCGCUGGUGAAUUUGCCUUGAUGGUGAGAAGAUUAAGAAAUUAUGAGUGGAGGAUCUGAAGUCCACAUUUUUUGGGGUGCUCCGCUUGGUCCACUGAAAAUGACAGUAUCACAGGGAAGUUCCUUAAUGUCCACAGCUAACCCCUGGGAAAAAAUCCAGCUUUUAUACAAUCAGUAUUCUUUAUAUCUGAAAGAUGAAAACCAGGAACCCCCAAAUUUGAAAGACUGUCAAGCUCCAAAAGCUAUUGGCCCUGCAGAGCUUCUUAGUGGCCAUUUUUCAGUAACCUGUAUGAGUAGAUCUGUUCAGGUAAAAGAUGACUUCAUACAUUCUACUUCUGAAACACAGAAUAUACAAGCUCAGAAGACUGACCCCCAAGGGCUGAGUGAUAUGACCAAUUGUAAUGUGCAAAUAUGUGGAUUUAAGGGCAGAGUUCAGCAUUUACCUGAAGAAGAAAAUCAUCAAAAGCUACAAUGUGAAAAUAAAAAAAUGAUAGAUGAACAGCCUCAAAAUCAGUCAAAUAUUUAUGGUGAAAACUUUCAGACAGAUCAGUUUGGAGCUAUAUUGGAUUUGAACUGUAGUACUUUGCAGAUCAAUGUAAGGCCAGAAGCUGUAGGAACGAAGCGUGUGUCAACAGAAUUUUCUCAUGAAAUCCAGAGCCAGCAAGUAGAGCUCUGUUGCUCUUACACACAGGCUGAUCCAGGGUCUGAAGGGGCAUUCAGGAGUGCUGCAGAGCUGAAAGUAUCUACUGACACUGAAUUUCUCAGCAUUAUGACUUCUAGCCAACUUGCUUUUUUAGCUCAAGGGAAGGAUAAAGGGCAAAAUUCUAUAAAUAAAGGUACCCUAAACAUGCAGACUGAACCAACAGGAAGCCAUGGGGAAGAACACAUAAUUGAAGAUAAUUUGGUUAGGGCUAGUGAUGAUUUUGGAGACAAACAUGAAAGUGGACAGAACCAAACAUGUUCUCUAGAACUUUUCAGUCCCGAGUGUCCUGAAUCAAAAAGUAGACACAUUUACAUAAACUCCGAAAAAGGUCUUGAAGAAAGUAUAGACUCUCCAGAAGUUUUCAAUAAUGAAGAUAAACUGCCACCAAAUGAGAUACAUAUUGAGUUGUGUAGCUCUGGAAUAUUGUGUUCCCAACUAAAUACCUGCCAGCAAAGUGCUAUUAAAAGAAGUUGGGCCUCUGAAGAUAAAUCUGCUCAUUCCAAAACUCUGUCUGAAGUUUGUCCAGUGUCUAAGAAGCCCCGAGUGGAUGUGAAUGCAGGAGAGUCAGCCAUCACAGUGCCUCAAAGGACUGUGUCUGAAUUCAAGGACACUAAAAAAAUAACAUCAGUAAGAAGUUGUGAUUCUAAAUGUCAGAAAUAUAAUUGUUUGCUGAUGGUGCUAACCCCAUGUCAUGUGAAGGAAAUAAACAUAAAAUCUGGGCCAAGUUCUGGUUCUAAAGUGCCAUUAGCAACAAUUACAGUAAUUGACCAAUCAGAAAUGAAGAAGAAGGUUGUCCUGUGGAGGACUGCAGCAUUUUGGGCACUUACACUGUUUCCUGGUGAUAUAAUUUUACUCACAGAUGUUGCUGUUCAUGAAGAUCAAUGGGUUGGUGAGACGGUACUCCAAUCAACAUUUACCAGUCAGUUAUUAAACCUUGGGAAUUAUUCAUCUGUUAAGUCUGAAGAAUAUUUCAAUGUAGUUGACAGUGUUGUGCUUCAGGACUUACUGUCAUAUGUGUCUUCAAAAUAUUCCUAUCUCCAAGAUCUUCCUCAAAGGCAGCCUCAAAAAGUGAACACUAUUGAGUUUGCGGAAUUGGAGCAGCUGCAGCCUGAUAAAUUAGUCCAUGCAGUACUAAGAGUGGUGGAUGUUACUAUACUAACAGAGGCAGUCUAUACGUACAGAGGACAUAAGCAAAGGAAAGUUGUGGUAACAGUGGAACAGGUCCAAGGUCAGCAUUAUGUGCUUGUAUUAUGGGGUCCUGCAAUAGCCUGGUACCCUCAACUUCAAAGGAAAAAAGACUGUAUUUGGGAAUUUAAAAAUCUUUUUGUUCAGCGCAAUUGCAUACUAGAAAACUUAGAAUUACACACAACACUGUGGUCAUCUUGUGAGUGCCUGUUUGAUGAUGAUGUGAGGGCAAUUACGUUUAAAGCAAAGUUUCAAGAACGUACCCUCUCCUUUGUCAAGACAUCAGACUUAGCAACCCACCUGAAGGAUAAGUUUUCAGGAGUGGUUAUGAUUAAAGCCAAGAUUUCAGAGCUGGCAUUUUCCACUGCAGGAGCUCAGAAGAUAGCUCUGAAUGCUCAUAGUUCCCUGAAGAGGAUCUUCUCCUCUCUUCCUAACAUUAUAUAUGUUGGGUGUGCACAGUGCGGAUUAGAACUCGAACCAGAUGAGAACAGGAUCUACAGACAGUGUUUUAGCUGCUUGCCAUUUUCUAGGAAGAAAACAUACUACAGGCCAGCUUUAAUGACUGUUGUUGAUGGAAGACAGACUAUCUCUGUCCAUGUAGGAUCAAAGUUGAUGGAGCAGAUUCUUCUCAACAUUCCUCCAGACUGCCUCAACAAAGUGAUAGGCUCUCCUUGGUUGUUGUGUUCCACCCGCAGGCUUGGGAGCACCUGGCAGAGUACCUUCCUCAGAGAUCACCUAUGGCAUGGUUGCGGCAGACCUGCUCCAGUCCUUGUUGGUGGCCAGUGCGGAACCUUGUGUGUUGAAGAUUCAGAGCCUUUUUGAGUUGGAUGAAAACAGCUACCCACUGCAUCAGGAUUUCUACCUGCUGGAUUUCUGCCUUGACCUGUGUAAGGCACCGGGUCCAGAUCCUUCUCUGGGGCCAGCGGAAGACACUCAGCGGAGACUACCUGCACAAGAUUUACACAAGAUGUGGCCUAUCA